Molecule: ribosomal RNA, 468 nt
Filed under: uncultured bacterium
Lineage: Bacteria
Description: partial 16S ribosomal RNA
Rfam family: Bacterial small subunit ribosomal RNA
Source: RNAcentral
GACGAACGCUGGCGGCGUGCUUAACACAUGCAAGUCGAACGGAAAGGCCCUGCUUUUGUGGGGUGCUCGAGUGGCGAACGGGUGAGUAACACGUGAGUAACCUGCCCUUGACUUUGGGAUAACUUCAGGAAACUGGGGCUAAUACCGGAUAGGAGCUCCUGCUGCAUGGUGGGGGUUGGAAAGUUUCGGCGGUUGGGGAUGGACUCGCGGCUUAUCAGCUUGUUGGUGGGGUAGUGGCUUACCAAGGCUUUGACGGGUAGCCGGCCUGAGAGGGUGACCGGCCACAUUGGGACUGAGAUACGGCCCAGACUCCUACGGGAGGCAGCAGUGGGGAAUAUUGCACAAUGGGCGGAAGCCUGAGCCAGCAACGCCGCGUGCGGGAUGACGGCCUUCGGGUUGUAAACCGCUUUCGCCUGUGACGAAGCGUGAGUGACGGUAAUGGGUAAAGAAGCACCGGCUAACUACGUG